CAAAUUUUGAAGUUACUCAUUUUGAUGUGCCAUAAAUAGUGUAGAAGUGGACCACUAUGAGAGUGACAAUUAAGGUACUGUGCCCAGACUAAUUAUGUCCCUUGGUCUGUCAUCACUGUCAUUGGUGGGCAGAGAACAGAUGAAUGGAUUCCUGAUUCUUACUUGGAAUUGUUCAGUUAAGGGAUUAUAUAUUCUGAUCCUUUUUGCUUCUCGGUGUGAUCAUUUGACUAGAUCUGACCAAUGAAAGAAAUUGUCAAUGGAGCCUCUGCUUUUGUGAUCUGGCUUCUUCAGGCCCUGAGAGCUUCCUGCACUUC
Molecule: long non-coding RNA, 314 nt
Filed under: Sus scrofa (pig)
Lineage: Eukaryota; Metazoa; Chordata; Mammalia; Artiodactyla; Suidae
Description: lncRNA (ENSSSCG00070000657.1)
Source: RNAcentral